RNAcentral lists this ribosomal RNA (500 nucleotides) under Priestia megaterium. Its description in RNAcentral is "bacterial SSU rRNA". It matches the Rfam family "Bacterial small subunit ribosomal RNA", at positions 275 to 767 of the family's 1533-position model. The record is from RNAcentral. Lineage: Bacteria; Bacillati; Bacillota; Bacilli; Caryophanales; Bacillaceae.
AACGAUGCAUAGCCGACCUGAGAGGGUGAUCGGCCACACUGGGACUGAGACACGGCCCAGACUCCUACGGGAGGCAGCAGUAGGGAAUCUUCCGCAAUGGACGAAAGUCUGACGGAGCAACGCCGCGUGAGUGAUGAAGGCUUUCGGGUCGUAAAACUCUGUUGUUAGGGAAGAACAAGUACAAGAGUAACUGCUUGUACCUUGACGGUACCUAACCAGAAAGCCACGGCUAACUACGUGCCAGCAGCCGCGGUAAUACGUAGGUGGCAAGCGUUAUCCGGAAUUAUUGGGCGUAAAGCGCGCGCAGGCGGUUUCUUAAGUCUGAUGUGAAAGCCCACGGCUCAACCGUGGAGGGUCAUUGGAAACUGGGGAACUUGAGUGCAGAAGAGAAAAGCGGAAUUCCACGUGUAGCGGUGAAAUGCGUAGAGAUGUGGAGGAACACCAGUGGCGAAGGCGGCUUUUUGGUCUGUAACUGACGCUGAGGCGCGAAAGCGUGGGGA